This 277-nucleotide ribosomal RNA is filed under the name uncultured bacterium. RNAcentral's name for it is "partial 16S ribosomal RNA". It matches the Rfam family "Bacterial small subunit ribosomal RNA", at positions 30 to 306 of the family's 1533-position model. The record is from RNAcentral.
AUUGAACGCUGGCGGCGUGCUUAACACAUGCAAGUCGUGCGGUAACAGGCGUAGCAAUACGUGCUGACGAGCGGCGAACGGGUGCGUAAUACAUGGGAAUCUGCCCUUUAGUGGGGAAUAACCCGGCGAAAGCCGGGCUAAUGCCGCAUAAGAUCUUCGGAUGAAAGCGGGGGAUCGUAAGACCUCGCGCUGAUGGAUGAGCCCAUGUCGGAUUAGCAGUUGGUGAGGUAAAGGCUCACCAAGGCGACGAUCCGUAGCUGGUCUGAGAGGACGGCCA